CAGUCGCCACGGUAAUACGUAGGGUGCGAGCGUUAAUCGGAAUUACUGGGCGUAAAGCGUGCGCAGGCGGUUGUGUAAGACAGGUGUGAAAUCCCCGGGCUUAACCUGGGAACUGCGCUUGUGACUGCACAGCUAGAGUAUGGCAGAGGGGGGUGGAAUUCCACGUGUAGCAGUGAAAUGCAUAGAGAUGUGGAGGAACACCGAUGGCGAAGGCAGCCCCCUGGGCCAAUACUGACGCUCAUGCACGAAAGCGUGGGGAGCAAACAGGAUUAGAUACCCCCGUAGUCCCUGUCUCUUAUAC
RNAcentral lists this ribosomal RNA (301 nucleotides) under uncultured bacterium. RNAcentral describes it as "partial 16S ribosomal RNA". It matches the Rfam family "Bacterial small subunit ribosomal RNA", at positions 509 to 807 of the family's 1533-position model. The record is from RNAcentral.